AUUGAACGCUGGCGGCAUGCUUUACACAUGCAAGUCGAACGGUAACAGGGAGCUUGCUCCGCUGACGAGUGGCGAACGGGUGAGUAAUGCAUCGGAACGUACCGUGUAAUGGGGGGAUAACGUAGCGAAAGUUACGCUAAUACCGCAUACGCCCUGAGGGGGGAAAGUGGGGGACCGCAAGGCCUCACGUUAUACGAGCGGCCGAUGUCGGAUUAGCUAGUUGGUGGGGUAAAGGCCUACCAAGGCGACGAUCCGUAGCGGGUCUGAGAGGAUGAUCCGCCACACUGGGACUGAGACACGGCCCAGACUCCUACGGGAGGCAGCAGUGGGGGAUAUUGGACAAUGGGCGAAAGCCUGAUCCAGCAAUGCCGCGUGAGUGAUGAAGGCCCUAGGGUUGUAAAGCUCUUUUACCCGGGAUGAUAAUGACAGUACCGGGAGAAUAAGCUCCGGCUAACUCCGUGCCAGCAGCCGCGGUAAU
RNAcentral lists this ribosomal RNA (478 nucleotides) under uncultured bacterium. RNAcentral describes it as "bacterial SSU rRNA". It matches the Rfam family "Bacterial small subunit ribosomal RNA", at positions 30 to 524 of the family's 1533-position model. The record is from RNAcentral.